GAUUUUUUUGUUGUUAUUCUGUCUCUCACUGUUCAAAUAAAUCUACCAUUAAAAUUAUAGACUGAUCAUUUCUUUGUCAGUGGGCAAACGUACAAAAUCAGCAGGGGAUAAAAUACUUUUUUCCCUCACUGUAUUGGCACCCUUACAUUACAAAACUUCAUCAUGAACACCCAGAAACUGCAUAACAUUUUGUGUCUAGUAAACAUUUUUACAUUGAUGUUGAAAUAUUCCCUUCUGGCAAAGUCUUAACCUCCUGUCAGAGGCAUCCAAAUAUGGAUUGAGAAUCCUAAUGAGGAAGCCAAAGGAAACAGUGGCAAUGGAAAAGCUGCCUGAAACAACAUGAAGAAGAAACCUGGAGAGGAACCAGAUUCAAAAGAGAAAAUUCCUCUUCUGGGUUACACGGGAUAGUGUGAUUUAUGAAUUAUUACUUUUCUACAGCUGUGUACUAUAAAAUCAUAUAGUACUGAGUGUGUUUUAAAGAAUGGUCAUUGAGAAUCAUGGUCUUUUAAGACUUCAUUAGAGUUUUAGCUUUAAAACACUAGUAUCCAAGUGAAAUCAUUCACUGAAGAAUGGGUGACUCAUAAGCUGGUUUUGGGAAGUUUUCUUUAGGCUGUCCAAGUGGGACCAUCCUUAGCAGCAGUGAUUUCAAGUGACAGAAGCCCAAAGAAGAAAUAUAGCAUCAGGAUGGGCCAGACUGGUCUGGAGGACAGAGGACAUCAGGAUCAACCACAUUUAUGCAUCAGGACUAGCUUAUUAGGUGAUGGUCGCAGCCAUAGAGAUAGUGAGUGAUCAAACUGACAGAGCGUGCAACAGACACACACAUGCAUGCCAAGGAACUGGAAUGGCGCUAUAGUCAUAAGUUCGUAACAGAUCCUUUUCGGUUGUUGUUGUUGUUUUAAAGUGCGUUGAAAAGCACGGUGUAAAUAAAUGCGAGCCCAGAGCUCUGCUAAAAUUCCGCCGACUUCGAGUCUUCCUCCGCACUCCCAGGUUCCACAGCCUCCUUGCUCAGACAUACUUUUUCAGUUCAGUCCACUAAUGGAUUCAGGUCAGGGCUUAUGCUUAGGAUCACUGUCCUGCUGGAAGAUCCACAUACAACCAAGUUUUAACUUUCUGGCUGAUUUCUUGAGGUGUUGCAUCAGUAUUUCUACAUAAUCCUUCUUCCUCAUGAUGCUAUCUAUAUUUUUAAGUGUAACAGUUUUCCAGGAAAAACACCUCUAUGCUUUACAGGUGGGAUGGUGUUCUUUGAAAUAAAAGCCUUGCCCUUUUUCCACCAUACAUAGUGCUAAUCAAUAUGGCCAAAAAGUUCAAUGUUUGUUAUAUUUUACCAGAAAUUAAAAUGACUCGGAAAGACUGGUGAUCAUCAAAAUUCAGUCUGGCUUUUUUAUUCUGGUUUUUGAAUAGGGGCUUCUUCUUUGCGUGAUAGUAAUUCAGGACAUGGCGAUGUUGGACUUUGUUAAUGAUUGAUGCAUGUAAAUGUUUAAUGUUGAAAAAUUAUCUGCCAAUAGAACAAGAUUAUUUCAAGCUUGAAAUCAGUUUUUUUAAGGGUCUAGAAAUGGGUUUAAUAAUCUUAUAAUAGAAAAUACUAGAUACAAAUAUUUCUAUGUUCAAAAUAUAUAUGACACACAGUUGGG
This is a long non-coding RNA of Ictalurus punctatus (channel catfish), 1631 nucleotides long. The record is from Ensembl. NCBI's taxonomy places the organism in Eukaryota, Metazoa, Chordata, Actinopteri, Siluriformes, Ictaluridae.